This 549-nucleotide ribosomal RNA is filed under the name uncultured Glomus. Its description in RNAcentral is "SSU rRNA". It matches the Rfam family "Eukaryotic small subunit ribosomal RNA", at positions 548 to 1098 of the family's 1831-position model. Lineage: Eukaryota; Fungi; Glomeromycota; Glomeromycetes; Glomerales; Glomeraceae. The record is from RNAcentral.
UUGGAGGGCAAGUCUGGUGCCAGCAGCCGCGGUAAUUCCAGCUCCAAUAGCGUAUAUUAAAGUUGUUGCAGUUAAAAAGCUCGUAGUUGAAUUUCGGGAUCAGCAGGUUGGUCGUGCCAAUGGUAUGCACUGGCCUUGCUGAUUCCUCCCUCUUGAUGAGCCGUAAUGCCAUUAAUUUGGUGUUGCGGGGAAUCAGGACUGUUACUUUGAAAAAAUUAGAGUGUUUAAAGCAGGCAAGCGCUUGAAUACAUUAGCAUGGAAUAAUGAAAUAGGACGUUUGAUCCUAUUUUGUUGGUUUCUAGGAUUGACGUAAUGAUUAAUAGGGAUAGUUGGGGGCAUUAGUAUUCAAUUGUCAGAGGUGAAAUUCUUGGAUUUAUUGAAGACUAACUACUGCGAAAGCAUUUGCCAAGGAUGUUUUCACUAAUCAAGAACGAAAGUUAGGGGAUCGAAGACGAUCAGAUACCGUCGUAGUCUUAACCAUAAACUAUGCCGACUAGGGAUCGGAUGAUGUUAAUUUUUAAAUGACUCAUUCGGCGCCUUACGGGAAAC